This 369-nucleotide unclassified non-coding RNA is filed under the name Basidiomycota sp. Its description in RNAcentral is "partial contains small subunit ribosomal RNA, internal transcribed spacer 1, and 5.8S ribosomal RNA". The stretch from base 1 to 47 matches the Rfam family "Eukaryotic small subunit ribosomal RNA", at positions 1785 to 1831 of the family's 1831-position model. Lineage: Eukaryota; Fungi; Basidiomycota. The record is from RNAcentral.
AAAGUCGUAACAAGGUUUCCGUAGGUGAACCUGCGGAAGGAUCAUUAACACGAUUCUUAUACAAACAACCGUGAACAUGUUAUCUACCUCUGGCUUCAUAUGCCGCCAUUGCCGGUGAAGGGUGGAAGUCGCUGUCUUCGGAUAGUGGCUUUGGCCGACCUUGGCUAUCGAGUCUCGAGCUCGAAGGCGAUGAAGUUUUGAGGCAAUUUCGCCCUGGAUAUCUCCAUCUUUUGAUGUCCAGGGUGUUUACUCAAUAUUAACCCCAAUCAACUAAUUGAACUAAUUAAGUGCUUAUAGACCUUCGGGCUUAUAAGACACCAAGUUAUACGUAACUGAGAACAACUCUUAGCAAUGGAUAUCUUGGUUCCC